GCCCCCGUGGCGCAAUGGACUAGCGUGUUGGACUUCUAACUGAAAGGUUGUGGGUUCGAGUCCCACCGGGGGUG
This 74-nucleotide transfer RNA is filed under the name Stylophora pistillata. RNAcentral describes it as "tRNA-Arg". It matches the Rfam family "tRNA". From Rfam's summary of the family: Transfer RNA (tRNA) molecules are approximately 80 nucleotides in length. The record is from Rfam by way of RNAcentral. Lineage: Eukaryota; Metazoa; Cnidaria; Anthozoa; Scleractinia; Pocilloporidae.